GGAUGAAAGCCUGUUGGAUUGGCGUUUAACUGUUAAUUAAAAAUUUAUGGGAUCGAAGCCCAUUUAUCCAGAG
Molecule: transfer RNA, 73 nt
Filed under: Panaspis breviceps
Lineage: Eukaryota; Metazoa; Chordata; Lepidosauria; Squamata; Scincidae
Description: tRNA-Asx
Rfam family: tRNA
About the family: Transfer RNA (tRNA) molecules are approximately 80 nucleotides in length.
Source: RNAcentral